AAGCUCCGACUUAAUGCAUAUGAAUGUACAUGGCAUACACGACUUUAAACUGUCAACAACAUAAUAAUAAUAUCAACACAACAACGUUUUCAACAAAAAUCAACUUAUAAUCAACUUUGGCUCAUCAAGCCUCCAACUCAGUAUUUUCAACAACUUUAACACAACUGAUCCACAUAUUUGGAUCAACAUUUCAUAACAUAAACCCAACAAAAUUAUUCCUCACAAUCAACUAAA
This 234-nucleotide long non-coding RNA is filed under the name Lathyrus oleraceus (garden pea). Its description in RNAcentral is "Pisum sativum (pea) long non-coding RNA (PSAT_LNC021652)". Lineage: Eukaryota; Viridiplantae; Streptophyta; Magnoliopsida; Fabales; Fabaceae. The record is from RNAcentral.